GGUAUUAUACUUUAAAUUUUAGAAAAAGGAUUAAUUUGCAUUUAAUUAUUGGGUUAUUCUCUAAUGCCA
This 69-nucleotide transfer RNA is filed under the name Viana regina. RNAcentral describes it as "tRNA-Ala". Lineage: Eukaryota; Metazoa; Mollusca; Gastropoda; Cycloneritida; Helicinidae. The record is from RNAcentral.